CUUCAUUCCUUUUCACAUUUUGGCACAUGCCGAUCCAGUUCUGAAAUCGUGUGUAUCCGCGCCCGUGAAGCCUGAUGUAUUGGCUAAAAUCGUUCAAAAAUCGUAGAAAAUUGUGCUAAAUUGUGCUCCGUUUACGCCAGCCCGUGUACCGUGUGUCGGUUCGUGAAAACGUAGAAAGAGGUCACCAGUCGCGUGAAAAAAGGGAUUAAAUCCGUGAAAAGCCCGUCGCCAGAGAAGGUUCCGCAGGGGAGCAAGUGCAGUGUGAAGCAGUCCAGGAAGCAGAACCAGCAAGAUGUCGUUCGAGGAAACAUCCGCCGAUCGCAAUGUGGAGAUCUGGAAGAUCAAGAAACUCAUUAAGAGUUUGGAAAUGGCUCGAGGCAAUGGCACGAGCAUGAUCUCGCUGAUCAUCCCACCGAAGGAUCAGAUCAGCCGAGUAAGCAAGAUGUUGGCCGACGAGUUCGGUACCGCUUCCAACAUCAAAUCCCGCGUCAACCGACUCUCCGUACUGGGUGCCAUUACCUCGGUCCAGCACCGGCUCAAACUAUACACCAAAGUGCCUCCGAAUGGACUCGUGAUCUACUGCGGUACGAUCGUCACCGAAGAGGGCAAGGAAAAGAAGGUCAACAUUGACUUUGAACCGUUCAAACCGAUUAAUACCUCUCUAUACUUAUGCGAUAAUAAGUUUCACACCGAAGCACUGACGGCUCUGCUGGCGGACGACAAUAAGUUUGGUUUCAUUGUGAUGGACGGUAACGGUGCACUGUUCGGUACGCUUCAGGGCAACACGCGUGAAGUGCUGCACAAAUUCACGGUCGACCUGCCGAAGAAGCACGGUCGUGGUGGUCAGUCCGCGCUGCGUUUCGCCCGUCUCCGUAUGGAGAAGCGACACAAUUACGUCCGAAAGGUAGCAGAGGUGGCCACCCAGCUGUUCAUCACCAACGACAAGCCAAACAUUGCCGGACUGAUCCUGGCCGGUAGUGCCGAUUUCAAAACGGAACUCAGCCAGUCAGACAUGUUCGAUCCGCGAUUGCAAUCGAAAAUCAUCAAACUGGUGGACGUUUCGUACGGCGGUGAGAACGGUUUUAAUCAAGCCAUCGAGCUGGCAGCCGAAUCGCUGCAGAACGUGAAAUUUAUCCAGGAAAAGAAACUGAUUGGUCGAUACUUCGACGAAAUUUCACAGGAUACCGGCAAAUACUGCUUCGGUGUCGAGGACACGCUGAAGGCGCUGGAACUGGGCUCAGUGGAAACGCUGAUCUGCUGGGAGAACUUGGACAUUCAACGUUAUGUGCUGAAGAACCACGUCAGUGCGACGUCCACCACAGUAUUGCAUCUGACUCCGGAGCAGGAAAAAGACAAGUCUCACUUCACCGACAAGGAGAGUGGCGUGGAGAUGGAAUUGGUUGAAUCUCAGCCACUGCUGGAAUGGCUCGCAAACAACUACAAGAGUUUUGGUGCUACUUUGGAAAUUAUCACUGACAAGUCCCAGGAAGGUAGCCAGUUCGUGCGAGGUUUCGGUGGAAUAGGAGGAAUCUUACGCUACAAGGUGGACUUCCAGUCUCUGCAGGCUGACGAGCCGCUGGACGACGUUGACCUUGACGAUUACUAAAUCAAUUACUUUUAAAACCGAAUCCAAACAACCAGUAUCCAUGGGACUGCGCGUACUCUGUGACCGAAUCGUAGCGGAACAGACACGGACACAUACACACGUAUAAGAACACACUUACAGCGGAGAAAUUUCUCUACUCUCUUUGAAGUUCUGAUCAAAAGAAUAGAAAUCAGACUAACGAACACGUUCAAGCCGAGUUUUUUUUUGCGAAACAAUAGAUUCAGAGUUCUAGAGAAUAACAAAUUGUAAAAAAACAACAGCGAAACAGAAACCGCAGAAUUUUGAACCGCAUGUCAAAACACUCCAAAAAGAGGCAAAAUACGAAAACACAAAACAAGUAAAGUAGACAUACAAACACACACUGACACACAAACAUAUAAACCAAACAGUAAAAUAGUUAAUAUAAUCAGCAAAAAAAAAUAUAAUCGGUCAACUGGUAAAAAACGGGGUGUGGCUCAAGUGGUAAAAGGUCACACACUCCCGAAACAUAAAAUCGGUUCCGAGCCCGAGCAUGAGCGUGUACUUAUAGUAGUUAAAAGAACGAAACUAGAAGCCAUAUUUAUAUAAAUAUUGAUGGGCAUCCUUUCGGAACAAGGGGAGACGUGGAUGGGCUUACACGAGUUUGGUUGAAAUUGAUCAACGCCUGAACUGAAUCAGGGUUUGAAUCACAAGUUGGAUUUUGCUUUUGCGAUUAAUAUUUGUGACGUUCCAGACGUCUCACUCUUCGUAAGUGUAAGUGUAACGAAUUGUGUCGAAAUCUACUUUUUGUGAUGCUUCUGAUAUAAUAUUUGUGAAAGCUUCUCGCAAAACAAAAUUAACCUUCUAGUCACUAAGUAGUUUUUAUAACAAAAAAAAAAAAAAUCUCAAUUCAAUACCAUAUUGUAUGUUAUAAUGUGGAACUCACAGUUUUGACAAAAAGGAUUUCAGAAAGUGUCCCGGGAGUGGCCGGAAAUGUUAGUUUUCGUUUCUUAAACUCUGACCUCUAAUUGAGAAGAUUUUAUUUAUUCAAAAAAAUUCUCAUAAACAAUUGGAAGAAAUGUUUUUACUCCGUUAGCACACAGCGCAAGGUAUUUCGAAAAGUUUUGAAAACUAAAGUUCUGACUAGAACUUUGUGAAAAGGCAAGGAUGAAGUUUCAACAAAUAAGCAAUACUCAAAGUCGAAAGCUUCCUUUGCUCCCACUUCCACAGGAUGCCCGGUUUUUAUGAUGAUAUAUCAUUGAGUGGAAAAAUAAAACAACUGUAUAAUAACAAUUAAUGCCCUUAAAAAUCAAAACAAAUCGAAAUGAAUCACGAUUACCCCGGAACUAGGAUGCAGCAGAAUUGAAUUAAAAUUAUCGCGAUUUACCUACCCUUCCUAUCAAAUAGAACAUCCGUACGCGCUGAACAAUAAAUCAAAAAACUAAGAAGAAAAGAAAACCAAAGUAAUGUUUAAAAGUUCGUCUAUCAUUUAAUCCUACUCUUGCCAACUUCGGAAGCAUUAGUUCAGAAAAUGUAAAAAACGGUAUCAUAAGCUACAACAGUAGAGACUCUGUGUCGGAUAUUUUCCCAAAUGUUGACAUUCGAACCUCGUCGCGAAUUUUAAAUGUGUUCCUUAGAUUAGUUUGGCCAACUUUUAGUAAAGAAAAAAAUACAGAAUAUCUAGAACAGAGCCGCAGGAGACGCGAUUGGCGUUCAUCGUGGGAGAAGUGGUCAGCAGAAAUUGUCCUACUGAUUGUGGAUUCAUCGGAAGUAGCCGUAAACUUCUGGAAGAUUUGAGCGCUAGGUAUGACACGCGUGACAAUACACUCAAUUACGUAGACCGACACUUUCGUAGACCGAAAUAAAAGAACGGAGACCACACGCUACUCUUGGGGUUGUUUCAACAGCUCCGGGUAUUCACCAGGGAGGCAGGGCACAUUUGCACGCACAUUAUCACCGAUGGGUUAAUGUAGAAAGAAGGUAUUUUGCGCUACAAGGUAGAUUUCCAAAGCAUGCAACUAGAUGAAUUGGACAACGAUGGUUUCGAUUUAGAAGAUUAUUAAAUUUUUUAUGUUUAUGAAGAUAUCAGUUAUACAAACACACAGGUUAGAAAAUAUACAAAAGGAAAAUAAGAGACACUGCGCAGUGGAAACACACACAAAAAAAUCGCCUGUUUUUUUUUUCAUUUGUUUGCAUGAUUAGAGAGGAGAGAAACCAUCAUUUGGGAAAUCAAAGUCGGAACAUCUGCGAAGCCGUGACUUUCCUCGUAGUGUUACUGAUUACCAGAAGGCUCAGCAUUCGUUUUGAACUCGUCGCGCGGAAUCCUGCUCAAACCCCAAUCCAAGAACAUUGCCUUCCGCCGCGCGCCGACGAUAUUGAUAGGAAUUCGUCUAUAGUGUAGACGUAUUAUACCUACUGCUGCUAACCUAGACAAAACAGCACUAGAGUUUUUUUUUUCAAUAUUUUGCCAAUUGUGCAACAAUACCGCGUUUUGUUCGGUUUGUCGUCGUACAGUUUUAGAGACAGCGUAGUGUAGUGAAGAUCUUAGUCCUUCCUGGGAUUUUUUUUUAUUUCAUUAGGAACGCACUGACAUUCGUGAUCUUCGUUCACAUUGUGUGUAGACUGUUCGCUGGAUGGUGUAACUAGAAAAACAAAUCCGUUGAUUUUCAAAAGACUUUGCACGUUGAAAAUACAUAAUUACUGAGCCGGACAGCUCAGUAAAAUUAUAUCACAUUGGUAAAAUUUUACCGAAGUUUGGAAACUUGACCGAAGUAUUUAUUUGCCGACAUCCUCACACAAGAUUCGGUAAUUCUAAUAGUUUGUACACAUCAUCCAGUGGCGUUAAAGUAGAGUGUUUACGUUAUCUGCCACUCACUCGCGUGAACAACCUACACAAACACAUCUACUUAUAGCUCCGUUUUUGUGAAGUUGAGACUUUUUUCAAGAGAGGUAGUGCUUUAGAAGCAAGAAACACAUCGCCACACGCAAGCCACGUGGUACGCCACGCGUGUACUGCAGCAGCCGAGAUCGUUCAAGUUUAACACACUCCUAGUAUACUAUACUUACGAUAGACUUUCGUUUGGCGGUCUUUUAACGUCGUUCUAAUUGCUCUUAUUCCUAUUUACUACUUUACACUCUAUUACCACUAUUCGGAAAUAACAGAAGCAGACGAGCAACAUUCACACUCAACACACUAUUGAUAAACUGCGAAAAACAGAAACAGGAGUAUAAACUGAAACGACUCGCAGAAAAAAAAAAGAAAAAAGAGAAGUAAGGAAACAUCAACACCCGAGAAACCAAUACAUAAACACACACACACGUUCACUUUGUAUUAGUUAAAGAAAAGGGAAAACAAAACCAGUAACCGCUACAAAAUUUUGAAUUCAUCUGACAAAAGAAAGAUCCAGAGAAAACCAGAAAAUUGUUAUUAUAUAUUAUAAAACAAAUAUUAUAAAAUGAUAUAUUGCAUAAAAAGAAGAUAUUUAUAUAAAAAGGAAAUGAAAAACAACGGAAGCAAAACUGGCGAA
RNA transcript from Aedes albopictus (Asian tiger mosquito), 5091 nucleotides. It is a transcript of the gene named eukaryotic peptide chain release factor subunit 1, with no coding region annotated. The transcript is spliced from 9 exons. The record is from RefSeq and is a predicted model, not a curated record. NCBI's taxonomy places the organism in Eukaryota, Metazoa, Arthropoda, Insecta, Diptera, Culicidae.